Long non-coding RNA from Daphnia pulex (common water flea), 251 nucleotides. RefSeq lists it as uncharacterized. The transcript is spliced from 2 exons. NCBI's taxonomy places the organism in Eukaryota, Metazoa, Arthropoda, Branchiopoda, Diplostraca, Daphniidae. The record is from RefSeq and is a predicted model, not a curated record.
CUCGGCUGGCAGCCCAGCACCCGGCAAUAUAGUGCUGCACAGCCCAGUCUAUACAUCAGACAAAAAGGAUUGGUCCCCAAAGAGCCAGAGCCAACAAAAGAGCGGCCACACAGCAGCUCGAGAUGAUUUACUAUUACUAGUGCAUUGGCCCAGCAGACAAGGAAUGGCUCUCAGCCGCCCACUUUUACAUCUCACAUGCCCGGCAACAACCAUUUCCCAACCGAUGGAUAUAAUACUAGUAGCAAAAGAAA